Molecule: long non-coding RNA, 2996 nt
Organism: Spinacia oleracea (spinach)
Lineage: Eukaryota; Viridiplantae; Streptophyta; Magnoliopsida; Caryophyllales; Amaranthaceae
Exons: 5
Source: RefSeq, a predicted model, not a curated record
ACAACUCUGAUUGCCAAAUUCAAAUUACUAGAAAUCAACUACUCGUAUUAUUGGGGUUUCCACACAAAACAAACACCCAAAAUCCACCUCCUGCAAAACCAUAACCCAAAACCGCGCACCAUCUACCCCCCAUACCAAGAAACGUUUUUAGAGAGAGGGGCUCUCCCUUCUCUCUAAAAACCUAGCCCCAAAAUUAGAAAUAUUACACCGCCUCUCCUUUUCAGAAAUCCAAUUAGGCCUAUUUCUUUAGCAUGCUUUUCGAUUUGUCAAUAGAAAAGGCAUUCUUUUGAGCAAUAUUUUGCUAUCUUUGUUCAGAUAAUGAGUUUAUUAAGGUUUUUUUUUAUAGGAAAUCAUAUAUGGAAGUCUGUUGUGGUGAUUAUCAUCUUUUCUAGGAAUCUAGGUUCAUCACUCUCUUUGAAAAUCGGGUUUUCCACCGCCGUUGUUCCUCACCGAUGGUGGCUUUUAUCCACGCUCUGCCCCUCCGCCCGCUUAUUGGUGGUCUGCCGUCGCCGUCGGAUGCCUCGGCCCUGUUCGUCACCGUUGUUCCUUUCGAUGCCUCGUUUGUUUGACCGAUCUCUCUUCAUUGGUAGUCUGCCGUGAAUAUUAGAUCUUUGUCCCAGUUGGUGGUUCAUAUCCACCGCUGCUGCCCCGUGUCAGACGUUUGAGAUUGAUAGAGGACGAGACAGAGAAAGUGAAAGAGUUAUUCUGCAGACACAACAACACCCUUUAGAGAAACACUUAUAAUCUUGUGAAGUCUAACGAAUGUAGAAGAGCUCAGUCUGAAUGCAGCAGAGAAGAGGCUACUUAACGCAUACAAUGAUAAACCUGUAUUUUCACGCCCUUGUCAUGAGUUUUACUCGGGACAAAACCCUGAGGAUUUUCCGAGCAUGUGUUAUGCUGCGUAAGGUGAGAACAAAAUUGACUACACCAACUACCGUCACUUGGCAGUUUGAGUUGAGAACUUUUGAAGCAUAAAAGAGUAUUUUAACAAACCUCAUCCCAUGUAUUCUCAAAAACUGAUUGGCGAGCUAAGGGAUAUGUGGAUGUCGUACGUUAUCGGAUAUCACCAGCCAAAUAACGAUGAAGAUGAUGAUUUAUAUAUGCGAGUUGGGCUAGCUCAUCGGAUGAUAUUGGUUAACAAACUAUUUUUGUACUUUCUUUUUUCGACAUUAGAAAGGUAUUUGAUUUUCUUUUGGUUGAACAUUAUAUGAAUCAUGUUGUCGAUGAACAAUAGGAUUUUAUUAUUGAAUGAAAGGAUUUGCGGAUGAGUUUUUUUUAUAUUUUGUAUAUGAAAUAUGUUGCCUUUUGGUAGAUUGAGUGGAUAUGGUCGAUUGUAUCUAUUUAUUUUUGGUGUAUGAUGAUAAUAACCCAAAAAGGGUGGUGACGUGACAAUUACCGUAAUAUUUAGUAUUUUUUUUUAAAACAAAAAGCAUCGAAUAGAGAAUGGUUGCCUAUAACAGGCGCUCUCUAUGAUAAUUGAAACGGGGUAGCAUAUAAAGCGCCUAUCUACAGCGACAAUUACAUAUUUCAAUAUUUAUUUAACAGUUACAUAUGAUAAUGCUCUAUAUUCUCUCUCCAUUUAUAGAUUUUAUGAAGGGUAUCUGAGCGCCUUUCUCAAACCACCAUCAUAUAUGAUUAGACAUAUAACGCGCCUGUUGCGACCGCUUUAUAAGCUUUAUAAAGCGUUGAGCAGGAGAGCGCCUCUAAGGCGCUUUAUAAAGUCUAUUUUAACAGCUCUAUAUUCCUAUUUUUGUAGUAGUUCCCACAAUUGGAAGAUCUUUCUGCGACCUAUGUAGCUAAGGAGUCUUCUCCUAAGGUUACAGGAGAUGAGGGCCCGACGGCCAAGGAGGCCUCCACUGAGGCAGUAGCAAGUGCUGGUCAUGCUGCGGAUCCGUCGCCCAGGAAGGAGGCGAGCAGGGAGUCGGGUGACCCUUCUCCUGCCAAGGAUAAGGCAAUGCCCCAACCUACUCCGACGGCAAAUGCGGGUAAGUUUUGUAGUGAAUGGAACGUCUUGUCCACUCAGUUAUCUAUUGCUAAUCUCGUGAUUAUAUGUCGAUACAAAUGGUGUUGACUUUAAACGAUGAGGAGGGCCGAGGUGGAAUAGAUUCCCCCUUCCAGUGGUUUUAGCUCGGAGGAAAAGGAUAAAAUUAUUUCCUCCGUCUACGAGGCUAUCCCCAAGGAUUAUGUGAGAUCCCUUCCAGGCAUUGAGGAAGGGUUCUUAGGGGCCAUGCAGUCCCUUGUGCUGGAUAUUCGCCGAGGCUGGGCAGUACCGCGUCGGCAUGCACCAGGAGCUGCUGAAUCAGAAGAGCCAAAUUGAGAAUCAUGAUAAGUACGUCGAAAAUAAGGCGAAACUUAUUAAUGAUGAAUGGACGUGAUCAUCAGGUCGGAGACUUCUGCUUUCCAGCAGGCCGAGGCAGAUGCCCAAACUUAUGAGGCGAAGCUAAAGGAGCAUGAGGAGAAACUGACUGUCCUCAAGGCUGGGUAUGCUGCCGUUUUGGAGCGGGUUGCAAACUUCUCCACAAAGGUUGACGCCCUGGAGAAGAAGCUUAAGGCCACUCAGGGUGAAGUGGAGACUAUCCAGGGGGAGGCCGCUUGUUCCUUCAAGCUCGGGGAGGAAGCCGUUCUGCAGGGUGCUCGACGAGCGUGGGACCAGGAGAUGGAGGGAAAGGACUUUUCCUGGCUCAGGCGUCGAAUUUCAUACCAGAUGGCCGUCCUGGCUGCUCAGCGCCUCGGGCUUGAUCCUCCUGAGUUCAUUAGUGAUGGAGAAGAGGAGGACGUGGAGGAAGAAGAAGUGAACUCCCCAACCGGGCAGGACUCCAGGAUGGCAGUUCGACCGCUCCUUGUCCUUAAAAAUUUUCUUGCCUGUUGGUUUUUGUAGCGCCAUAGGCGCUUGUAUUAACAUUGGUGCCUUUGGGCACUUUUUAUUUGGGUUUUGCGCGCUAUGUGCGCGUGUAUGAACUAUUGUGCCUUCUAUGCACUUUUGACUUUAUGUCCAA